AAAAAGGGGGUCGGCCUAUUCCAGGGCUUCUAGAGAAAAAAUAAUGAGGGGUGUCACGGGGUAUGACUAUAUAGGUCUUGUAGAAGGAGAAACAGGCGCUUCUUUUGCGCAAGGUAUCGAAGGGCGCUAUGUUCAAAAAUCUGAAACUAGAGCCCAAAAUUUGAAAAAAAUGGUAAAAAAAUAGGGGGGUCGGCCUAUUCCAGGGCUUCUAGAGAAAAAUAAUGAGGGGUGUCACGGGUAUAUGACUAUAUAGGUCUUGUAGAGGAGAAACAGGCGCUUCUUUUGCGCAAGGUAUCGAAGGGCGCUAUGUUCAAAAAUCUGAAACUAGAGCUCAAAAAUUUGAAAAAAAUGGUAAAAAAGGGGGGUCGGCCUAUUCCAGGGCUUCUAGAGAAAAAUAAUGAGGGGUGUCACGGGGUAUGACUAUAUAGGUCUUGUAGAAGAGAAACAGGCGCUUCU
This 456-nucleotide long non-coding RNA is filed under the name Mytilus galloprovincialis (Mediterranean mussel). The record is from RNAcentral. Lineage: Eukaryota; Metazoa; Mollusca; Bivalvia; Mytilida; Mytilidae.